UGCCGCGUGUGUGAAGAAGGCCUUAUGGUUGUAAAGCACUUUAAGCGAGGAGGAGGCUACUGCAGCUAAUACCUUCAGAUAGUGGACGUUACUCGCAGAAUAAGCACCGGCUAACUCUGUGCCAGCAGCCGCGGUAAUACAGAGGGUGCAAGCGUUAAUCGGAUUUACUGGGCGUAAAGCGCGCGUAGGCGGCUAAUUAAGUCAAAUGUGAAAUCCCCGAGCUUAACUUGGGAAUUGCAUUCGAUACUGGUUAGUUACAGAGGGGGAGAGGAUGGUAGAAUUCCAGGUGUAGCGGUGAAAUGCGUAGAGAUCUGGAGGAAUACCGAUGGCGAAGGCAGCCAUCUGGCCUAACACUGACGCUGAGGUGCGAAAGCAUGGGGAGCAAACAGGAUUAGAUACCCUGGUAGUCCAUGCCGUAAACGAUGUCUACUAGCCGUUGGGGCCUUUGAGGCUUUAGUGGCGCAGCUAACGCGAUAAGUAGACCGCCUGGGGAGUACGGUCGCAAGACUAAAACUCAAA
This 519-nucleotide ribosomal RNA is filed under the name uncultured Acinetobacter sp. Its description in RNAcentral is "bacterial SSU rRNA". It matches the Rfam family "Bacterial small subunit ribosomal RNA", at positions 395 to 905 of the family's 1533-position model. The record is from RNAcentral. Lineage: Bacteria; Pseudomonadati; Pseudomonadota; Gammaproteobacteria; Moraxellales; Moraxellaceae.